Peromyscus maniculatus bairdii (prairie deer mouse) is the source of this 619-nucleotide non-coding RNA. NCBI's taxonomy places the organism in Eukaryota, Metazoa, Chordata, Mammalia, Rodentia, Cricetidae. The record is from RefSeq and is a predicted model, not a curated record.
UCUCCUCCCUGGCACCCCUCGGGUUCCUGCACCUCACCUUCACCACCUGCAGCCAGCCGGGCCUCUCUGGCGGGGGCGCUCACAGCCCCCCUCCUCCAAGCUCUCCACUACCCCUUCCCGAGGCGGGAGGGACUGUGCCGCUGCGUACGGGUUUGUCCAACGCCGGCUACCACUACACACGCACAGAGAAAACUGCCUUCUCCCAUCCCUCCAAGAAAACAACCCAACAAAAAUCAAGAUACAACAACGUAGACUCGGGACCGGUUAACAGCUCCAUUGGAAGGGGACCAUGGAAGUCUUGGACGAUCUGCUUGCUAGCGGCUCCGAGUCCCGCUUUAAGCUCCGCUCUUUGCGGUGUGGCUGAAAGUUAACGUAAACGGGUCUGUUGCGGUCCCUGACCUCUGGACUGCACAGAGGCCACAGUCGUUUUCUGGAGGUCGCUUUCCAGGGCCGACCCGACAGCCGGCCAAGGAGGAGAGCGCCGCUGGCCGUUUGGGUUUACUAUGCAUUCUAGGGCUGCAUCGCCCCGUUUUCAAGCAGCAAGCUCUCGGCCUGGGUUUGGAACGGGGAGAGAACUUGGAACGGGGAAUAUAUAGUUGCAUACCUUUUUUUCCCUCGA